GAUGGAAGCAGAAAAGAAGAAGGUCAGGAAAAGAGAACAGAGGAGGUUGGAAGGAAAGGAGAUGGAAGCAGAAAAGAAAAAGAAGGUCAGGAAAAGAGAAGAGAGGAGGUCAGAAGGAAAGGAGAUGGAAGCAGAAAAGAAGAAGGUCAGGAAAAGAGAACAGAGGAGGUUGGAAGGAAAGGAGAUGGAAGCAGAAAAGAAAAAGAAGUUCAGGAAAAGAAAAGAGGAAGUUGGAAGGGAAAGAAAUGAAAGAAAGAGUAUGUUAUUCAGCAUUAUAUAAUGUAACAUUAAAAUAUGCUCAUAAGAACAGUCGAUUUUUUGUUAUGUUACAGACUAGAUUUCGGUGCAAAUAUUACUUGGAAUACUUUUAAAACUUAACAGAACAGAAGGUAAAUGUCAAGUAUCAUAUUUUUCUGAAUGUUUAUUCUUUUGUGUAGAUAAAACUUACUUGCAAUAAUAUCACGAGAUUUGUACAAUAUAUUUUAGUUUUUGUAAGUUCAUAGAUUAAGUAGGUUGAUGUUUUACUCUUCUAUAGGACCACAUAUUUGUGCUGUCUUCGGUUGUGUCAACAUCUCUGUUUAAUGGACAGUUUAGAUGUGUGAGGAAGGUGAGCAUAUACAGUGAAACUUAUAAGCUACACUUAUUUCAUUCAUAGAAGCAAUAUACUGCUACAAACUGUGGUGUAAACACUUCUCUUUUAUAGAUGAUCAUCCCAAACAGGGAUUUGUGGCUGUGUCCAUACAACACAGGAGGGCAUUGGAUUCUUGUGGUCUGUAAAUCUAACAAUAUUCAUAUAUUUAACAAUAUUCCACAUAAAUAUGCGACUAAAACAGAUAAACUGCAAUGAGUUACAGAUUGUGAAAAUGUCAGGAAAGGCCCUACUUGUUAUUGACCCCUUAAGGAAUGAGCAGAGAUACAGCAGGAGAAUCUUGAGAAACUGGAGGAAUUUCUUAAGGAUGAGAGAGGACCAAUUAAGCAGUGCAUCAUGGACAGUAGAAACACUGGGGCAUGAGCUGCAGGUGGAUGGGAGUAGCUGUGGAGUCCUUAUUUUAAAAUUUGUGGAUGAAUACCUUCAGUCUGGAUCGAUCUUUGAUGUGAAGACCGAUCCUGCAUCUGUGCAGGCUGCCAGACUACACAUUGCCUGCAAACUCAUUGAAAAUGGUGGCAGUGUUGAAGACUACUGCAUAGAAUGCAACAUGAUCAACCCUGACACAGACAGUGACAGUGUCAGCAUGGUGCAGUGCGACAUUUGUCUCCGAUGGGCACAUCAUGACUGUCUGAAAUCUGUUCCUGCAAAUGGAAAGGAAACUUACAUUUGCUUGAAGUGCAAAGAAUAAAGAAAAAAAGGUUGCAUUUUCUGAAGAAAAUGGGUGUGCUUGUGAGAUAGCAAAUAAUGAAGAAAUUAAGUGAUAAUGUGUUUGUGCGUACAUGUGUUGGGUGCCUAUUAUAAGCUACUCUACUUUUGAACAUAAUUAUAGUAGUCCAUUCUGAUAGAUAUUUCCUACCUGACAGAAUGAGCUACUCUACUUAUAAUCACAUUUAUAGAGGUAGUAGUCCAUUCUGAUAGAUAUUUCCUACCUGACAGAAUGAGCUACUCUACUUAUAACCACAUUUAUAGAGGUAACAGACCAUUCUGAUAGAUAUUUCCUACCUGACAGAAUGAGCUACUCUACUUAUAACCACAUUUAUAGAGGUAACAGUCCAUUCUGAUAGAUAUUUCCUACCUGACAGAAUGGGCUACUCUACUUAUAACCACUUUUAUAGAGGUAAUAGUCCAUUCUGAUAGAUAUUUCCUACCUGACAGAAUGAGCUACUCUACUUAUAAUUACAUUUAUAUAGGCUGUAUGUCUGCUUCAUACACAUAUCUGACCUGAGUAGAAUGUAGCGCAAACUUUCAGAACACAGGCACUCCAAUGCAAUCUCUAUGAGUUCCGGGAGGGCUUGCCCCAACGUGUUUUCGUCAUACGUAAACCACCAAGUAUCAUUCAUGUGCUCCUCGGAUGGUCCGACUUCCCAUGUCGGGAAGUCGUUCUUACUUCAUUGUGUGUUCAUGAGCGUUUAGGUGGUAAUGUGGAGACAUCAUGGACAUUACAAAGAAGAUGUGUUGUAUUUUAUCACUCAAAAUGUUUAAAAAACAUGUCGUCAACCGUUUCCACUGAAAUAUUGCUUUACGGUCGGAAACUCAUUUUUCCGAUUAUUCCGACAUCACAUGAAGCAGCGCCACUGCGCACCGGUCACAUUCAAGGUCAAAAUGGCUAACGUUUCCAGCUGAUCCAAGAGGUUUUUUAACCAUAUAGGUUAAAAAGAAACGACCCAUGGUGCGCCCAAAUUCACACCUGUGCGCUCCUCUCUAUGGAUUUUCUCCGUGACCGUUAGCGAGAAGCCACACAUAUCACAUGAAACAGCAGAACUGCAGCUUUGUCGGGCACUUGUCGGUAGUCCAAUGUUUUCACAGCGAAAAAGAAUGAUAAAGUUACACUAAAAUGAUGUAUAACAGAGCUAUCAUACAGCUUUGCACACACAUUACUCGCGAAUGCAGGCUCGCACAGAAAUACCACACAUACCACACGAAAGCGCAGGAGCAGAGCUUUCAUGUGAUAUCACACACAUCAUUGUGCUGUCAUCCCAUCACGCUAUACAUACAGAUAAAUUGUCUACAAAAUGAAAACCUGACGAAUUUCUUUACGAUCCAUUAUACAGAUCUUGUUAUCAGUCACUUCAUAUAGUGAGGAAUAUCGUAUCUUACCACGUCUUGGGCUUGUGUGUGUUUCUCCCUGUCUAUCCACAUUUGUAGUCAAGAUGCAAUUAUCUCCAGAUUGUCCAGUUGACACUCCAUCAAACUUUGUAUGACAAGACCAGCCACUUCACAUUUGCAUACCCAGACAACUGUAGCCUAAUUAUGCAUGCUGACAGGGCAGUAGUCACCAUAUACAUUGAGGGGGACACGUGCCCCCCCCUCUCCAGUAUAUCACUGAAACUGAAAAACAACAACAAAAAAUGUUCAGGUCAGGUCAAAGAGCAGUGAUACUAUGUGAUGUGCAUUGUAUUAAGUUGUAGGGAAUGCCUGCAUUUAUUUCUUUAAUCAGAACACAAAAUUAAUUUCCACUUAGCUAUAAUAAAAUGUUUUCUGAUUAAGACUGACAAUGACUCAGUGAAUACCUUACUCAGUUUUAUUUGAUUAAUGGUAAAACAGGUCUCUGUUUACAUUCAAAGGUAUUUGUGUGGGCAAACUGAUGAAAAUUAGUCUGUUGAUGACCACAGUGGAUUGUUCAGUCAUUGUAGAGCCAAAUUAAUUCAAAUUUACCCACUGAACGGGUCACUUCAGCCAUCAUCACAACAAUUGCCCCCCCUGAGAAAUUUGGCAACAGCCGCCACUGCACAACACUAAACAUAUCAACAUCAAGAUGACACCAAGUUUGGAAGCUUAAGACCACCAUCUAGUUUAGAUAACUGUAAGGUUUUAAGUCUAAUUCUAGGGCGCUUUUUUUGCCAUAUGAAAUGUGAAAUUAUUUUAUCCAGCUUAUCAAAAGUUGACUUUGGAAUUUCAACAGGUAACAUCUGAAAUAAAUAAAGCAGCCUUGGCAGAACAUUCAUACGGAUACUUUCAACACAACCAAUCAGGCAGAGGGGUAGCACAGACCAUCGUUCCAAAUCACUAGUAAUGCAUCGAAUCAUUUUACCAUAGUUAGCUUCAUACAAAUUAUGUAAAAAGGGGGGAAUAUAUAUGCCAAGGUAUUUAAUACCUUCUUUAGAUGUAUAUGUAUAUAUAUAUAUAGCUAAAGUCUGCUGGUUUUCUACCCGGAAGUAUUUGUAAACAACAAGGCGAUUCCCUCUAUUUAUACUGCUACAGCGUCAGGGGGCGUGUUUGUAGCAGGGAUAGCUCCAUUACAUAAUGCGGCUAUGAUUUAAGGCCCGCCCACUAAAUCCAGAACACAGACACCUAGAAACACAGUUUGUGAAGCCUAGCUCCACAAUUCAAUUGUAAAUGGUUGAAAGGCUUUUUUUUUUUUUUUCUUUGUUUACACAUUUUGAGGAAUACUUUUAUGACCUAUUUAAUGUGUUUUGAAGAAAAUAGCAGUGUGGUAUUGUUGAUAUUGGUUUUGUCAGGUAAAGUAAUAAUAAAUAAAUAAAUAAAUAAUAAAUAAUUUUAUGCUCUUCUUUAUUUAUAACAAUUCUUUUUAUAUUAUCACUGUCUCUGAUAAGCUGGGCCAGCGGUUUGAUGCUAAUGGCGAACAGCAGUGGUGAUAGAGAGCAGCCUUGUCUGCAUCCUUGUUACAAUGUAAACCUCUCUGAUCUAUACCCAUUGACUUUAAUAGCCGCCUGUGGAGAUGAGUAUAAUGUUUGUAUCUAAUUUAUAAAAUUAGGGCCAAAUUAAAACCGCUUUAAUGUCAGAAAUAAAUAUUGCCAUGAGACCCGGUCGGUCAAAUGCCUUUUGAGCAUCCAGAGAUAAAAUCAUUGAUUGUGAUUGCUGAUCUUUUUGAUGGGAUAUUAUAUUUAGUAGGCACCGUAAAUUAACUCCAUAGUAUCUUCCAGUAAUAAAUCCAGUCUGAUCAGUAUGAAUAAUUUGGGUGAUUAUCUGAUUAACUCGUCUGGCUAGAAUUGCUGUGAGUAUACGCAGAUCAGCAUUCAAUAAUGAUAUUGGUCUGUAGGACUGGCGUUCAGUGGGGUCUUUACUCUUUUUGAGUAUUACUACAAUAGUUGCCUCUGUCCAGAAUGGUGCCAUAGUUUUAGAUUCUAAUGCAUAAUGAUAUGCUUUUAACAAUAGGGGAGACAGUAGAUCUUUAAAAGUUUUGUAAAAUUCAUUAACAUAUCCAUCUGGCCCGGGGCUUUUGUUUUUUUUGAGUGUCGAGAUCACCUGCUUAAUCUCCCAUUCCUCUAUAGGCUCAUCUAACGCCUUAGUUGUUGGUUCUGACAGUUAAGCAGGGUUCAACGCUAAGGUUUUUUUUCACUUGCCUGGUCGGGCAAGUUGGUCAGAUGUUUACUUGCCCGAAGUCAGUUUUUACUUGCCCUAAAAAAAUUGUUUAAUUUAAGCGGCUAUCAAUUAACAAAGACUGCAGUUAUUUUUAUGUUAUGUAAUCUUUAUUCACACUGUAUUUAUUAAUUAUAACAACAUACGUCAUGUAUUGUAGCUUAAUUCCUACACAAAUAUGACAGUGUCAGGGCUUGAAGUGAAAAAUUUGUCAAUCAUUCUCCGUCUAUAAUUUUGCGCCCUACUUGAGCCAUGCCCACCUCUAUUUAUUUUUCACCCCUCUCUCCAGUUCUGCUGUAUUAACACCGGGUUUAAUAUAUUUUGCUUCCAUCUCUCUGCCCUGCUCUACUUUACUUCAACGCUACUCAGCUCUCUCUCUACUCUACCAGCAGACUACCACAUCCACCUGUUGCACAAAAUGCACACAGCAGUGUUUCCCCUAGGAUGGAGUUGUAGCAGCGGAGGUGAAGCACACUGUCCAUAACAAUAACUUUGUCAGCUGACAAACUGCACCGGGCUCGGGGUCAGGUUUGGUCAGGUUUUAAGUCAAUUUUAUGCGGUUUAGGAACUCUAUGAUUUUUACAUCAUCAGAACACGUAUCUGUAUUGUUAUAUAAGGAUUUGUAAAACUAUGCAAAGGAUUUAGCUAUUUUAUCCGGUUUUGUGACGUAGGUAGCUUGUGAUUUUAUUCUCUGUACUGUAUUAGAUGAUUGGUGUUUCCUCAAUCUAAAUGCCAAUAAUCUACUUGCCCUGUUACCAUAUUCGUAGUAUCUUUGAUUAGUGAAUCUUAAGUUUCCCUCAAUCUUGUCUGUUAGAAGAUUAUUAAGUUCUCUGCGAGCUGCAUUUAAAUCCUUUGUGAGACUAGUCGGAGCGGAUUGUUUGUGUUUAUGUUCUAGUUCUUUUAUUUUAUCUUCUAACUCAUGUUCUUUAUCAUCCCUCUCCUUUUUCCUAGCAGAUGUAAAGGAGAUAAUGCGCCCCCUAAUGUAUGCUUUUGCACAAUCCCACAGUAUAAGAGGUGUUGUUUCAGGUGAGGCAUUGAUAUCCAAAUAGCUGUUGAGCUGUGCUGUGAUGAAGGAGGUAAAUAUUUUGUCAUCAAGGAGAGAUGCAUUAAGUCUCCAUCUAUGGCCUAUGUCCCACUUUAAUAAAACAGGUGCAUGAUCAGAGAUGGUAAUAGGCAGUAUCUCAGUGUCUGCAAUCCUAUGUAAUUCUACCUGAGGUGUAAAGAAGAGAUCAAUCCUUCAUUAAUAAUAAUAAUAAUAAUAAUAAUAAUAAUAAUAAUAAUAGACACAUAAUAAUAAUGUGUCUGCUUGAAUAGAAAGUGAAGUUCCUACUUCUUGGAAAUUUACUCCUCCAUACAUCCGCAAGGCCUGCUUCUAUAGAUUGAUACUUAAGUACUUUACUCAUUCUGGAUACAGGAGCUUUAGAGGCAGGUUGUCGGUCCAUUAGUUGCGACAACACAUAAUUAAAAUCUCCUCCCAUCAAUAACCAGAGCUGUAUCGUAAUAUCAUAGUAAACAGUGUUGUGAUGAAACUAGGAUCAUCCUCGUUGGGUGCAUAUACAUUUAUGAGGGACACUUCUAUGCCAUCAAUUAGUCCAUUAACCAAGAUAUAUCUCCCCUCAGUAUCUCUAUGUAGUGAUGUCUGAGUGAAAUGUAUUUGUCUGUGUUUAAGAAUGGAUACUCCCCCUCUUCCUGCCCGAUCGGUGUGAGGAAUAGUAUAUUUCGUCUGCCCAGGAUUUCCUUAGCUUUUCAUGUUCCACGUCAGAUAAAUGGGUUUCCUGUAGGAAUGCUAUUUGACAGUUGACUCAUUUCAGUUGGUGUAAAAUUUUCUCUUUUAACAGGACUAUGAAGACCCUUAACAUUAUAGCUUAUAAUAGUGUGCCCAUUACUUACAAUUUACAGUUUAUGUCUUAAUUCCCUGAUAUUACAAGCUAGGAGAAAGAGAUGGCAAGCAGAAACAAUCAAUCCAUGCUUGGGUAGUAUACUCUGUCACGCGAGUUAUGAGGAGUGGAGCCCAAUAGUGACACCAGAAGGAGUGGAAUAAGUAAAAAUAUUUACGACAGCUGUACCAAGAAUUUUUAACAUCAAUAAAAGUAGUAGGAAUCUGGAUAGGAAAAAGAAAUUAUAACAUUGUUGUUUCUGCAUUUAACGCAGGAUCCUCUGGGAAUAGGAGGAUCAGAACAAGAAGAACACAACACGUAGUAAAACUAUAAUUAACUAACAUUGACAGUAGUACAGUGGGACCUAGUCCCUAGCCACUAAGGCAAGCAGCAAAAGUGCACAGUCUAGUUUGAGUUUGACUGUGCUUUGAGUGUGCUAAGAUAAGAAGGAAAAGAACAGGGUGAAAGAAAAAAAAAGUUAUCAUGUGUUAGCCAUUCAUUGCCUGAGUGUCAGACUGAAGCUCGCAGAACCUUCAGUCUGACAUUGCCUCCAUUGAAGGCGAUUUACAAGGGGGAGGGAAUUUGAUUUUUCCCUAACCAAUCAGUAGAGAUCAACGACUCACCCAGAAUCUGACGUCAUUAGUAUCCAUGCCUCGGGGGUGCCAAAAACAAGCGAGCAUUGCCCGUUUAAAAUGUCUCCGUUGUCGUGCACACCCAGCUGCAUCGCCGUUAAAUCCAGUUUAGCAGCUUCCUUAAUUUGGUCCUCCAUUAAUGCGAGUAGUGGCGAAAUACCUCGAUAGCAUCGUUAAUGUGGUCUGUAGGAUCUGUAGCGGUAGCCAUUAUUGCUAUCCUCACCAGUUACCCACCAGCGUACAGCUUGACAUCAGCGUGGCGCUGAUUGGCUAAUCGCAAGACCCGCCCCCACCCCCAGCGUUCAUUGGUCCGUCCAUUGUUUGGAUGAGAUAAAUCGCAAAUUCAUUGCAGUAUGCCAGACCAGAGAUGCAAGCCUACUCAGUUGAGUGGGCGGGGUCUAUGGUCUGGAACCAGGCUAAGCCAUUCAGGCUUCUGCAGCCUAGCAGAUGUAUAAGAAUCAAACAGCUUCUCUCUCUUCUGUAUUACACACGUUGUAAUUUAGUUAAGAAUGUUGUCUUCUCUUAUGAAGGUAGGCCUAUAUUAGUAAAACAGAUAGUGAUAAAUGAGUAAUACUAAUAACAAUAUGAACUGUGAAGCAUUAGAACAGGUAGUUUAUGUAAAAUAAUAAUAAUAAUAAUAAUAAGUGUUCAGGUAAGGUGUGUGGGGCUCUGCUCACCCUAUUUGAGACACCAUAUGAGGUUCUACCAGAAAAUAGCGAAGAGUAACGAACAAAUCAAUAGUGUGAAAAGACAGAAGUUACUCUUCUUCAUCUUUAGUUCUUAGUGUUGUUACCAGUACAAGGGAGAAUAUACUCAGGCUUCAGUCUCUGCCGCUGGAACAACUGUCUUUUGAACAUAUUCAUGGCCUUUUCGGGGUCCAGAAAGUCCUUGUCCUCAUCCUUGUAUGAAAUCCGAAGUCUGGCCGGAUAAAAUAGUCCGUAUCGGACUCCUUGACGUCCUCGUAGCACCUUUCGUAUGUCUGUGAAUGCAGCUCUGGCUUUGGCAACGCUGGAGGUGUAGUCGGGGAAUAUGGCGAUGCGGUUCCCGUUAUAGAUGAGAGGGGCUCUAUCUCUGGCUCUCCUAAGGAUCUCCACAGCUUCUCCAUCGUAGUGUAACUUUGCAAUUAUCACCCGGGGCUGGUCUCCUGGCUUUCUGGGAGCGAGGGUCCGAUGCGAGCGGUCAAUUUUUAUCUCCCAAUCCAUCUGCAGGACUUCUUUAAUAACUUUGGCGACCGCUUAGGGGGAGCUGGAAUCCGGCUGCUCCUCAAUGCCAACGAUGCUAUUACCCCGUCUCAUUCUCCCCUCCAUGUCCUUGUAUCGGUCUUUUAAAGUUGUCACUUGGCUUUGAAGGCUGGUUACUAAUCUAAUUGCCACCAUGUUGUUUCAAAUUUUGGACCGUACCACUCGCAGUUCUAAUUUGAGGGCGUCAAAAUCCUCCACCAGUGCACUUUUAAGUUCGUCCCUUAUGAUUCUUAUGACUGUGAUUCUAGAACAUGCGCUUCAGCUAGUAGCAGCAAAGUCUGGUAGCUCUGCAAUUUUACUUAGUUUUACUGAAUGUUUAUUAUAUUUUUCUCAACUACUAAUGGAUACUUCUGUGCAGAGAAGAGUUUAUUCAAGAGAGGAGCUUUUUUUUUUGUUGAAACAGAGCAAGUCUGGAGGACACCAUCCUAUUCCAGCUGAAAUGAAGAGGUGUUUUGGUGGUUGCCGUGCUGGUGCAAAGGUGAAGGCUUGGAAAUGGAGAUAUAAGCCCUUUCUGCCAUCAGUCAUCAUGGGAAAUGUCAACUCUCUGCCCAACAAAAGUGAUGAAGUGGAGAUAUUGGUGAAGACUCAGAAAGUAUACAGUGAGUGCAGUCUCAUGUGUUUUACGGAAACAUGGUUGAAUCAAAACAUCUCAGACUCCAACAUGGAUCUACCUGGCUUCACUCUCAUACGAUCAGACAGAGACUCUAAAGCUAGUGGCAAGAAAAAAGGCGGGGGCCUGGCUUUAUUUGUGAACCAGAGAUGGUGCAGUCCUGCACAUAUUACUGUCAAGGAGAAGAUGUGUUGUCCAGAUAUUGAACUUUUGGCAGUUGGUGUGAGGCCAUAUUAUGUACCAAGAGAAUUCAGUCAUAUAACAAUACUAGUGUACAUCCCACCCAAGGCAACUGCUGAAGUUCCAUGUGAAGUUCUCUAUGAACUCGUUGCUAAGAUACAGACUAAACAUCCUGAGGCACUACUGAUAAUAUCAGGAGACUUCAACCAUGUUUCCCUCUCCUCUCAUCUGACUGGAUUUACACAGUUUAACUGUCCAACCAGAGAAAAUAAAACCCUUGAUCUGCUGUAUGCCAAUGCCAAGGAAGCUUACAGAAACACUGCCUUACCACCACUGGGCAGGUCAGAUCACAACUUAGUUCUUCUGCAGACAUGUUAGCCUACAAACCCUGUGUGUGGAGGCAGCCUGCAACUAAACUCACAGUCAGGACAUGGACACCAGAGGCUACUGAGGUUCUAAGAGAUAUUUUUGAAUGCACAGACUGGGAUGUGCUGCUGGAAACAGAGGAGAACAUCAUGGACAUUGAUAGACAGGUUGACUGUUUUACUGAUUACAUUAACUUCUGUAGAGACACAGUCAUACCUACAAAGAAUGUAUGCUGUUUCCACAAUAACAAACCUUGGAUUACCAGUGACAUAAAGGCAAUCCUCAAUGAGAAGAAGGCAGCUUUUAGAGAUGGUGACAAAGCACGGCUCAAACAAGUGCAACAUGAGUUGAAGAAGAGACUUAAGAUGGCAAAGGUGGAAUACAAAAAUAAACUGGAGAGGAAUCUACAACAUCCGUGAAAUGUUGAGGAGUCAACACCAUCUCUGGUUACAACAAUAAGAAAGACAGCCAGUGGUGGGUGAUGCAGAAAGAGCUGAUGAACUCAAUCGGUUCUUCAAUAGAUUCAAUACGGCAGCCACUCCCGCUUACAAUGCUGCUUCUCCUCCUCCUCCUCCAUCACCUCCACCUCCACAGCUUGUGUACAACUCCAAUGUGGCAGCGCUUCUGUGAAAAUCAUGUUCUUUGAUUUUUCAAGCGCAUUCAACACCAACUCCAACCCAACAUACUUAAAGACAAGCUCACAGAGAUGGCAGUGGAUCCUUCCUUUAUAUCCUGGAUCACAGAUUACCUGACAGGAAGGCCACAGUAUGUCAGGUUGGGAACUGUGUUUCUGGGACAUUAAUGAGCAGCACGGGGGCUGUCCUGGCUCCAUUCCUGUUCACACUGUACACGGUGGACUUCAAAUACAACUCUGAGUCCUGCCACAUCCAGAAAUACUCGGACGACACUGCUAUUGUGGCGUGUAUCAGGAAUGGGCAGGAGUCUGAAUAUAGGGACCUGAUAAAAGCCUUAAGUGACUGGAGUCAAAAGAACUGUCUCCUCCUGAACACCUCAAAGACCAAGGAAAUGAUCAUAGAUUUCCGCAGGUCCAAGCCCCCUCUUCAGCCAGUGAAUACCUGUGAGGUGGACAUCGAGGUGGUACCAAGCUAUACUGUAAGUAUCUAGGUGUACACCUGGAUAACAAGUUGGACUGGUCCCUAAACACAGACGCUCUCUACAAAAAGGGGCAGAGCUGCCUUUUUUUCUUGAGGAAGCUCAGAUCUCUCGACAUCUUUAGUAAGAUGCUGCAGAUGUUUUAUCAGUCUGUGGUGGCAAGUGUGUUGUUUUAUGCUGCAGUCUGCUGGGGAGGAAGGAUCAGACACAAAGAUGCAAGGCGGCUGGACAAACUAGUCAAAAGAGCUGGCUCUGUGAUUGGAGUCAGGUUGGACACAUUGGAGGAGGUGGUGGAGAGAUGCACACUGAAGAUGUUCGAGGCCAUCAUGAACAACCCAGAUCAUCCACUCCACAACACCAUGAUGGACCAAAAAAACUGUGGUGAACGGCUCCUCUCUCUUUGAUGCAGGACAGAGAUACAGAAGAUCCCAUAUACCAACAGCCAUCAGGCUUUAUAAUUCUUUGACAUAUAAUAGAUGAGCUGACAGAUAAUUGAAUUUCCCCUUGGGGAUGAAUAAAGUUAUUGUUAUUGUUAUUCUUAUGACUGUAGAGAUUUCUCCCCUCAAGGAAGAUAAAAUGUCUGCCUUCAUUUCUUCAGAGGCCAUACCUGGGCUUUCACUCCAAGUGGGUGAGGUUUGAACUUGGCUGUCCGGUGUGCGCUGCCUCGUGUUUCUCGCAGGCCGUGGAGCACUGGCACUACUGCCAUAUUUGUAUUUUUGGAGCUUUUCUGCCAUACAAACUCGAUUCUGACUAUGUACAUUGAGUUAUGGUGUCCUUGGUGAGCUUCAAUGCUGGACUUGAUGCCGAAAUAGCUGUUUUUAUAAGAAAAUAUGGUAGAUUCUGCAGGAGCUCUGAAAAAGACAUCUUACUCCAUACCUUUGCUCACUAAGCUAACUAAGCCCUGCCAUCAUAGCCAGUCUGAUUAAAGGGCCACUGUGUAAAAUGGGUUGAAAACCGUUGAAAACAGUGACAUCAGUGGUCAAAUUCUAGAUUGCAGGGCUCACUCGCUCACCCCUCCUGUCGGGUAAAUGACGGUGGCCUCGUAGGGACAAAAAGCCUUGUGCAGACACAAGUUUUUCAGGAGUAGGUCUAUCUAGCGACGAGGUGAAUAUUUAUUUAGAAAUCUAAACCAUGUUACGAUAUUGUAAUGAAUCCCUCACGAGCAGGAGACCAGAGUAGCGUUCGGGAAAAAAGCCAGUUUAUUUGAGCACUCCAAAAACUCCGGUAACACUCCAGGGGGUAGCACGUAAAAGACUCCGUCCCAAACUCUGACUCUUCUAGUGUAACACACACACUUCAUACACACAUACUCACUUACAGUACCCAGCGGGGCUGCCCUCCCCUCUCUGCUCCACCAAUCUCCAGCCCGCACACUGACUGUCAGCAUAGCCAGUAAACAAAACUCAGUUGUUUAUUUAGCCUAGCAAUAUCUCCGGACUAUAGUAGCUGCAAUGGACGACUUUGAACGCGAUUUUGAGGAGUUUCUUGUAGCGGACACAAAUCCAGAGCCAUACCUGUUUGCCAUACCUGUUGAAAAGCGCCGCAGAGAGUGCAUCACAAGGAGUGAAGUUGCGUCUUCUUUUCCUCGCAGAUGACUGUUCGGGUUCAUUCUCUCCUGUUGCGUGGUAAGUGUGGUCCAUUCCAUACUACUCUCUAUCGACGAACUACUAACUACUAACUAACGCUGUUUCCUCCUCCUUCCUUCCUUCCGCUGUCUUUGUUGGUUUAUUUAUACACGCGAAACGCAUUCUCUGGCUGGCUGAACUUCUUUGUUUUACAAAAUCAGCCUGGUCGGACUUUUCCUUGUAGUGUUAUUAAGCUGUUUCCCAGUGUUUAUAGGGGUUUUCAUUAGAUGGGGGGGAGGGAUUAAUAAUGUGUUUUUUUUCCACUGCUUUGUUUCUUUUCUUUUCUUUUCUUUUCUCUGCUCUUGUACUCAGUGUCAGCAUCAUUAUUAUUGGUCACAUGUCACAAUAUCCUGGUAAUGUUUAUACAUGGCUGCUAGUUGUUCUCCAGCCUCGCCACAAUGGGGCAAUCUAACCUUGCUAAGCUGGAACGUCAGAGGUCUAGGGACCAAUUUAAAGAGAGAGAGAGGCAAGGUUUUCUCACAUUUAAAAUCUUUAUCUUGGGACAUUUUUUUUUACAAGAAACGCAUAUCAAACACGAGGAGAAAUGGAGGCUAAAACGUAGCUGGGUGUCUCAAAUCUAUCAGUCAACAUUCUCUUCUAAAGCCAGAGGUGUAGCCAUCUUAACACGCCGUAACAUUCCAUUUGAACAUAUUUCAACCAUCUCUGACCCGAAUGGUCGCUAUCUCAUUGUAAGGGGUCAUAUUCUUUCACGGCAUGUAACGUUUUUGAACAAAUAUGCGCCCAAUUUUGACGACCCAGGUUUUUUUAGAAAAGUGUUUAAUCUUAUUCCAGACUCCUCUACCACCCAUUUAAUCGCGGGUGGAGAUUUCAAUGCUAUAUUAGACUGUUUCACCAAUAGGCUUUCCACCCGCCCUACAGUUCCUUCUAAUACCACAUACACUACAAUUUCACACAUACACAAAUCAUAUACUAGAAUUGACUAUUUCCUGAUAGAUGCCAAAUUGACUUCUUAUGUAACCUAUAUCAUAACAUUUUAAUUUCAGAUCACAGCCCUGUUGAACUAAAAAUUGACUUAGGCAUUGCAAAACCCGCAUUUGAUUGGCAAUUCAACCCAUUAUUACUCAACAAUAUGCACUUUCGCCAGCAUAUAGCUAACCUGCUAACAGACUAUCUAUCCCACAAUGACACGUCUGAUGUAACCGACUCCACUCUGUGGGAAACUUUCGAAGCUGUUAUGCGUGGCCAUAUCAUAGCUUACGAGGCCAAGUUGAAAAAAGACAUACUGAAGGAAUUAUCAGAAAUUACAGCUCAGCUUUCGGUCCUUGAAAGAGACUACACAACGACCCCCUCACCCUCAAAACUGAAUAAUAUUUUGGAGCUUAAAUUCAAAUAUAACACUAUUCUUUCUAACCAAGUGAGUAAAAUGCUAUUAAAAGUCAAAGACAAAAACAUUUUGAAUUGGCUGAUAAGCCAGACAAACUGUUAGCCCAUCAGCUCAGAAGCAUUCAAGAUAACCAAGCAAUCCAUAAGAUUAGGACAAAGUCAGGUAUCUCCUCGGACCCGAAAGAGAUUAAUGAAUCCUUUCGCAAAUUUUAUGAAGACCUCUACACUUCAAAGACCACCACUAAAACAGCACAAAUUUCUGAUUUCUGAUUCCUUUGUUAUCUUCACUUGCCCAAAUUGAACCCCUCAGCACAAACUGACUUAAACAGAGCAAUAACGCUAGAGGAGGUCGCUGGGGCAAUACGUUCCUUCCCUAAUGGAAAGCCGCCGGCCUGGACGGAUUUCACAUCGAGUUUUACAAAGAAUACUCGGACAAUUCUCAGAUUAACUCAUAUUGCAGUGGUGCCUGGACAGCGUGACGUGUGUGGUUGUGCUGCUGCCGUGGUCCUGCCAGAUGCCUCCUGCUGCUGCUGCCAUCAUUAGUCAUUAGUCAUUAGUCAUACUUCUACUGUUAUUAAACACAUACACAUUAUGACUAUUGUCACACAUGUAUACUGCCAGAUAUUAAUACAUACUUUCAACAUAUAUAUAUAUAUAUAGCAAGAACUAUAACUAUAAUAUUAUUACUUUCAAUAAUGUUGUUGUAAGCUACUGUCAUUACCUGCAUAUAUAUCUAUCUCUCUCUCUUUCUCUCUCUCUCUCUCUCAUUGUGUCAUACGGAUUACUGUUAAUUUAUUAUGCUGAUCUGUUCUGUACGACAUCUAUUGCACGUCUGUCCGUCCUGGAAGAGGGAUCCCUCCUCAGUUGCUCUUCCUGAGGUUUCUACCGUUUUUGUCCCCGUUAAAGGGGUUUUUUUGGGGAGUUUUUCCUUAUCCGCUGCGAGGGUCAUAAGGACAGAGGGAUGUCGUAUGCUGUAAAGCCCUGUGAGGCAAAUUGUGAUUUGUGAUAUUGGGCUUUAUAAAUAAAAUUGAUUGAUUGAUCGA
RNA transcript from Epinephelus moara (kelp grouper), 15000 nucleotides. RefSeq lists it as uncharacterized. The record is from RefSeq and is a predicted model, not a curated record. NCBI's taxonomy places the organism in Eukaryota, Metazoa, Chordata, Actinopteri, Perciformes, Serranidae. The transcript is spliced from 9 exons.